AUUGAACGCUGGCGGCAGGCUUAACACAUGCAAGUCGAGCGGGGUGAUGGUGCUUGCACUAUCACUUAGCGGCGGACGGGUGAGUAAUGCUUAGGAAUCUGCCUAUUAGUGGGGGACAACAUCUCGAAAGGGAUGCUAAUACCGCAUACGUCCUACGGGAGAAAGCAGGGGAUCACUUGUGACCUUGCGCUAAUAGAUGAGCCUAAGUCGGAUUAGCUAGUUGGUGGGGUAAAAGCCUACCAAGGCGAAGAUCUGUAGCGGGUCUGAGAGGAUGCUCCGCCACACUGGGACUGAGACACGGCCCAGACUCCUACGGGAGGCAGCAGUGGGGAAUAUUGGACAAUGGGGGGAACCCUGAUCCAUCCAUGCCGCGUGUGUGAAGAAGGCCUUAUGGUUGUAAAGCACUUUAAGCGAGGAGGAGGCUCUUUUGGUUAAUACCCAAGAUGAGUGGACGUUACUCGCAGAAUAAGCACCGGCUAACUCUGUGCCAGCAGCCGCAGUAA
This 503-nucleotide ribosomal RNA is filed under the name uncultured bacterium. RNAcentral's name for it is "partial 16S ribosomal RNA". It matches the Rfam family "Bacterial small subunit ribosomal RNA", at positions 30 to 523 of the family's 1533-position model. The record is from RNAcentral.